AGCGAACGUUAGCGGCAGGCCUAAUACAUGCAAGUCGAACGGUAACGGGCCUUCGGGUGCCGACGAGUGGCGAACGGGUGAGUAAUGCAUCGGAACGUACCUUUCAGUGGGGGAUAACGUAGCGAAAGUUACGCUAAUACCGCAUAUUCUGUGAGCAGGAAAGCAGGGGAUCGCAAGACCUUGCGCUCUUUGAGCGGCCGAUGUCAGAUUAGCUAGUUGGUGGGGUAACGGCUUACCAAGGCGACGAUCUGUAGCGGGUCUGAGAGGAUGAUCCGCCACACUGGAACUGAGACACGGUCCAGACUCCUACGGGAGGCAGCAGUGGGGAAUUUUGGACAAUGGGCGCAAGCCUGAUCCAGCCAUGCCGCGUGAGUGAAGAAGGCC
This 384-nucleotide ribosomal RNA is filed under the name uncultured bacterium. RNAcentral describes it as "bacterial SSU rRNA". It matches the Rfam family "Bacterial small subunit ribosomal RNA", at positions 29 to 416 of the family's 1533-position model. The record is from RNAcentral.